CAGUUAGACCCUGAGCUAGCCAUACCGUAUAUGCAAUUUCAUGUAAGCAUCUGCUAACUCCACUAGGAAUACCGUGCUGAGCCUUUGCCUUGAGAAUGCAGAGCUGAAAGAGCAGAUGGGAGAAGCAAUGUCUGAUGGAUGGGAGAUCGAGGAAGACAAGGAGAAGAGCGAGGUGAAUCCUUGGUGAAGCAGGACAGCAAGCAGGUCCAGGUGAACCUCCAGGACCUGGGCUAUGAGACUUGUGGCUGAAGCGAGAAUCAGGCUGAACAGGAGGAAAC
RNAcentral lists this long non-coding RNA (278 nucleotides) under Pan troglodytes (chimpanzee). Its description in RNAcentral is "long non-coding RNA NONPTRT008812". The record is from RNAcentral. Lineage: Eukaryota; Metazoa; Chordata; Mammalia; Primates; Hominidae.